GCCAAGCCGUAAAACCUACCCACACCACCAACGCCAGGGAACUACUAGCUAAGCUUAAAACCCAAAGGACUUGACGGUGUCCCACCCUUCUAGAGGAGCCUGUUCUAUAACCGAUAAUCCACGUUAUACCCUACCAUUUCUUGCUUUUCAGCCUGUAUACCUCCGUCGUAAGCUUGUCAUAUGAACGCACAACAGCAAGCUCAAGGACCCAACGCCAAUACGUCAGGUCAAGGUGCAGCUUAUGAAAUGGAAAGCAAUGGGCUACAAUUUCUACCUUAGAACAUACGAAAGACUACAUGAAAACCCAGUCACGAAGGCGGAUUUAGCAGUAAAUGGGGGAUAGAAAACCCCAUUUAACCUGGCCCUGGGACGCGUACAAACCGCCCGUCACCCUCUUCAAUAGUAUUUCACCACGUAUCAUAACCCCAACCCACGUCUUAGAAGAGGCAAGUCGAAACAUGGUGAGUGUACCGGAAGGUGCACUUGGAACAACAAAAUGUAGCUUAAUAAAAGCCCCUCGCUUACACCGAGGAAAUGUCUGUGCACCCGGAUCAUUUUGAGCCCACUAUCUAGCCCCAACCACAAUUUUUAUCCACCACCCAAAGUUAAUAAAAUAAAACAUUUUAGCUAUUUAGUAGAGGCGAUCAAAAUCUACCUAGGCGCUUUAGAAAGAGUACCGCAAGGGAAAGAUGAAAUAAAAAUGAAAUAACUCCGAAGCCUAAAGUAACAGAGACACUCACUCGUACCUUUCGCAUCAUGGCCUAGCAAGCUCAAACAAGCAAAGCGAAAACUUUUAGUUUGCCCUCCCGAAACUAAGCGAGCUACUUCAAAACAACUUCAAGAGCCAACCCGUCUCUGUGGCAAUAGAGUGGGAAGAUUUUCUAGUAGAGGUGACAGGCCUACCGAGCUUAGAAAUAGCUGGUUACUCAGGAAAAGAAUCUUAGUUCUGCCUUAAAUCCCUUCACGUCGUCAAGCAACCAAGAAUUUAAGAGUUACUCAAUUAAGGCACAGCUUACUUGAAACAGGAUACAACCUAGACAAAGGGGUAAAACCCUCAAUCUCAUAUGCCGUAGGCCCAAAAGCAGCCACCCUUAAAAAGCGUCAAAGCUUAGUAUGAUUCACUCCCCCUCCCACUAACAACCAUGAACCCCUCAUCACCACUGAGUGAUUCCAUAAUUAUAUGGUAAACACCAUGCUAGGACUAGUAACAAGAAUUUAUAAUUCUCCAAAGUGUAAGCAUAAACCAGAAUGGACGCCCCACUGGUAAUUAACGAAAAUGAAUCAACUGCAACAACAUCAAAACAAGAAAAUACUGCAACCAACUCCGUUAACCUAACACUAGAGCACUUCGGGAAAGAUUAACAGACGGGGAAGGAACUCGGCAAACUCCAACCCCGCCUGUUUACCAAAAACAUCGCCUCUUGACUCCAUAAGAGGUCCAGCCUGCCCAGUGACAAGUUCAACGGCCGCGGUACCCUAACCGUGCAAAGGUAGCAUAAUCACCUGUUCUUUAAAUGAGGACUCGUAUCAACGGCACCACGAGGGUUGCACUGUCUCCCCCCUCUAAUCAGUGAAACUGAUCUCCCCGUGAAGAAGCGGGGGUACAACUAUAAGACGAGAAGACCCCAUGGAGCUUAAAACCCAACGGCAACUCAACCCCACGCACUUCCCCGCACCAAGAGAGCAUGCCUAACGGUUUUAGGUUGGGGCGACCACGGAGUAAAAACCAACCUCCAUGACGAAAAGA
Molecule: unclassified non-coding RNA, 1747 nt
Filed under: Theloderma corticale (Tonkin bug-eyed frog)
Lineage: Eukaryota; Metazoa; Chordata; Amphibia; Anura; Rhacophoridae
Description: partial contains 12S ribosomal RNA, tRNA-Val, and 16S ribosomal RNA
Rfam family: Bacterial small subunit ribosomal RNA (bases 1-499)
Source: RNAcentral